UAGGGAAUCUUCGGCAAUGGACGAAAGUCUGACCGAGCAACGCCGCGUGAGUGAAGAAGGUUUUCGGAUCGUAAAACUCUGUUGUUAGAGAAGAACAAGGACGUUAGUAACUGAACGUCCCCUGACGGUAUCUAACCAGAAAGCCACGGCUAACUACGUGCCAGCAGCCGCGGUAAUACGUAGGUGGCCAGCGUUGUCCGGAUUUAUUGGGCGUAAAGCGAGCGCAGGCGGUUUCUUAAGUCUGAUGUGAAAGCCCCCGGCUCAACCGGGGAGGGUCAUUGGAAACUGGGAGACUUGAGUGCAGAAGAGGAGAGUGGAAUUCCAUGUGUAGCGGUGAAAUGCGUAGAUAUAUGGAGAAACACCAGUGGCGAAGGCGGCUCUCUGGUCGAUAACUGAAGCUGAGGCUCGAAAGCGUGGGGGGCAAACAGG
RNAcentral lists this ribosomal RNA (429 nucleotides) under Gemmatimonadota bacterium. Its description in RNAcentral is "Gemmatimonadetes bacterium partial 16S ribosomal RNA". It matches the Rfam family "Bacterial small subunit ribosomal RNA", at positions 355 to 776 of the family's 1533-position model. The record is from RNAcentral. Lineage: Bacteria; Pseudomonadati; Gemmatimonadota.